UGCCCUGAUUUUCAAGAGGGGCAAGAAGAAGGACCCCAGAAACUACAGGCCAGUCAGUCUCACUUCAGUGUCUGGUAAAGUUACGGAGAAGAUUAUUCUGGGAGGUAUUGAAAAACACCUGAAAGACAAUACAGUCACCGGCCACAGCCAGCACGGCUUCACAAGAGGAAAGUC
This is a long non-coding RNA of Empidonax traillii (willow flycatcher), 174 nucleotides long. RefSeq lists it as uncharacterized. The record is from RefSeq and is a predicted model, not a curated record. NCBI's taxonomy places the organism in Eukaryota, Metazoa, Chordata, Aves, Passeriformes, Tyrannidae. The transcript is spliced from 3 exons.